RNAcentral lists this ribosomal RNA (516 nucleotides) under uncultured Glomeromycotina. RNAcentral's name for it is "SSU rRNA". It matches the Rfam family "Eukaryotic small subunit ribosomal RNA", at positions 569 to 1086 of the family's 1831-position model. The record is from RNAcentral. Lineage: Eukaryota; Fungi; Glomeromycota.
AGCAGCCGCGGUAAUUCCAGCUCCAAUAGCGUAUAUUAAAGUUGUUGCAGUUAAAAAGCUCGUAGUUGAAUUUCGGAAUCUGUCCAUCGGUCGGGCUUCAUUGUCCGUACUGGUGUGGUGGGUUCUUACCUUCUGAAUAACCAGCAUGCCAUUUAUUUGGUGCGCUGGGGAAGCAGGACUAUUACCUUGAAAAAUUAGAGUGCUCAAAGCAGGCUAGUGCCUGAAUACAUUAGCAUGGAAUAAUAAAAUAGGACGGCAUGGUUCUAUUUUGUUGGUUUCUAGGAUCACCGUAAUGAUUAAUAGGGAUAGUUGGGGGCAUUAGUAUUCAAUUGUCAGAGGUGAAAUUCUUGGAUUUAUUGAAGACUAACUUCUGCGAAAGCAUUUGCCAAGGAUGUUUUCAUUAAUCAAGAACGAAAGUUAGGGGAUCGAAGACGAUCAGAUACCGUCGUAGUCUUAACCAUAAACUAUGCCGACUAGGGAUCGGACGAUGUUAAUUUUUAAUGACUCGUUCGGUCG